This 274-nucleotide ribosomal RNA is filed under the name uncultured bacterium. RNAcentral describes it as "partial 16S ribosomal RNA". It matches the Rfam family "Archaeal small subunit ribosomal RNA", at positions 473 to 747 of the family's 1478-position model. The record is from RNAcentral.
AAACCAGCACCUCAAGUGGUCAGGAUGAUUAUUGGGCCUAAAGCAUCCGUAGCCUGCUCUGUAAGUUUUCGGUUAAAUCUGUACGCUCAACGUACAGGCUGUCGGGAAUACUGCAGAUCUAGGGAGUGGGAGAGGUAGACGGUACUCGGGAGGAAGUGGUAAAAUGCUUUGAUCUCUCGAUGACCACCUGUGGCGAAGGCGGUCUACCAGAACACGUCCGACGGUGAAGGAUGAAAGCUGGGGGAGCAAACCGGAUUAGAAACCCGAGUAGUCC